UUUCGGGCAUAGGAUACUAUAUUUAGUUUUCAUGAUAAAAAUAAAACUGGGAAAAGAUAAUAAAUAGAUGCGAAUACUACUAAACAACUUGCAAGAAACUACGUAGUUCGUUGUCUCUUUCGUGACUCAUGAAUCAUGAUUCCUCUGACAAAUUACUUCAUAUUCUCACUCCUACAAGAAAAAACACUACAAUUUAAGAAUAAAAUUGAAACAAUAGCUAACACAAAGUACCAAACAUCCAUACACAAAAAUAUCAAAGGUAAAAAAACUUAUAAUUUGAUAAGAGAACAUCAACACCACUGUACCCAUGAACUGCAUGUAAGUUUCCCCAUGAAAGGAAAUUGUAUUAUUAAAUACUUUAUUAUUUUAACAAUAAUUACUUAAUCAUCUUUAAAGAAAAUAUAUUACGAAUUACUAAUUUAAAUCUUUUGAUUAGAUUUUAUCAUAGAGAUUAAAAUGAAAAUUGAAGUUAAUGAUAUGAACUAUAGAAGGUGGCUGGUUGUGACGCAGAGAGAUUUGACCAAAGUCUCACAAACAUCUUUUCUACUUUUCUUUUUCCCAGAUACUACCGCCACCCGUGUUUCUCAAUCCCUAUAAAUACUUUCCACAAUUCCCAAUUUCACAAUCCAUUCACAAACACCACUCAACCAUAAUUUUUCUAACCAAAAAGCACAAUGGAAACCACAUCCACACUUACCUAUUUCCUCCGCCAUGUCGCCGCCAAGUUCCCCUCUCGCCGAGCGCUCUCCGUCGCUGCCAAAUUUGACCUCACCCACUCUCGCCUCCAUCAACUGGUGGAAUCCGCCGCC
This 809-nucleotide long non-coding RNA is filed under the name Vigna radiata. RNAcentral describes it as "long non-coding RNA (VRAD_LNC001346)". Lineage: Eukaryota; Viridiplantae; Streptophyta; Magnoliopsida; Fabales; Fabaceae. The record is from RNAcentral.